CCCACAGCCUGACCAGCAAGGUAGUCAUGGGAGAGCUGGAGAAGGGAUCAGGGCAAGAAGGGCAAGGAGGAGAUCCACCAUUUAGGAAGAGCUCUCCUUUUUCUGGAGAUUAUUUGCCAUUUUCAUUUGUGAAAACAACAGAACCAAAGAAGAACCAGCUUUUCUUUGGAAUAAAACAGGUAUGAACCAACCCAUUAAAGGUGAGCCUCCAUCGGUCAAGAUGAAGAAAGGCUGCAAUUCCUGGACAGAAAAAAAACAAGCAGAGAAAAUGAGAAGAGCUUCAAAUAAAUAAUUAAUAAUAAACAAAUGAAUGGAUAAAUAAAUAAGUUCUGAAAUCUUAGCAGAUUCAUCCCGCUGAGAUGCAACGUGUCAUUUUGCCUUCAGCGUUUCAGAAUUC
Molecule: long non-coding RNA, 397 nt
Organism: Corvus hawaiiensis (hawaiian crow)
Lineage: Eukaryota; Metazoa; Chordata; Aves; Passeriformes; Corvidae
Exons: 3
Source: RefSeq, a predicted model, not a curated record